This 501-nucleotide ribosomal RNA is filed under the name uncultured bacterium. RNAcentral's name for it is "bacterial SSU rRNA". It matches the Rfam family "Bacterial small subunit ribosomal RNA", at positions 30 to 528 of the family's 1533-position model. The record is from RNAcentral.
AUUGAACGCUGGCGGCAGGCCUAACACAUGCAAGUCGAGCGAGAAAGGUCUUCGGACUGAGUACAGCGGCGGACGGGUGAGUAAUGCGCAGGAAUCUACCUGGUAGUGGGGGAUAACUCGGGGAAACUCGAACUAAUACCGCAUACGCCCUACGGGGAAAGCGGGGGACCUUCGGGCCUCGCGCUAUCAGAUGAGCCUGCGUAGGAUUAGCUUGUUGGUGAGGUAAAGGCUCACCAAGGCGACGAUCCUUAGCUGGUCUGAGAGGAUGAUCAGCCACACUGGAACUGAGACACGGUCCAGACUCCUACGGGAGGCAGCAGUGGGGAAUAUUGCGCAAUGGGCGAAAGCCUGACGCAGCCAUGCCGCGUGUGUGAAGAAGGCCCUUGGGUUGUAAAGCACUUUAAGCGAGGAGGAAGGUUUUUAGUUUAAUACACUAAAGAAUUGACGUUACUCGCAGAAUAAGCACCGGCUAACUCUGUGCCAGCAGCCGCGGUAAAGUAG